GCUUGUCACAGGUAUAUUACCAAGGUAAUUUCUUUAGGUAAUUCCUUAAUUACCAAGGCAAUUUUCAAAGGUUAUUUCUGUUGGGUUUAUGGAGCCUUUUUAUGCCCUUCAGGUGUGUUGAAGUCGCAGAGCUGGGUCACUCAGGUGUGUCACAUCCAGGUGUGUCACACAGCUGGGACACUCAGAUCUGUCACACUCAGGUGUGUCACACUCAGGUGUGUCACAUCCAGGUGUGUCACAUCCAGGUGUGUCACACAGCUGGGUCACACAGAUCUGUCACAU
Zonotrichia leucophrys gambelii is the source of this 282-nucleotide long non-coding RNA. RefSeq lists it as uncharacterized. The record is from RefSeq and is a predicted model, not a curated record. The transcript is spliced from 3 exons. NCBI's taxonomy places the organism in Eukaryota, Metazoa, Chordata, Aves, Passeriformes, Passerellidae.